Molecule: long non-coding RNA, 1124 nt
Filed under: Homo sapiens (human)
Lineage: Eukaryota; Metazoa; Chordata; Mammalia; Primates; Hominidae
Description: HSALNT0384245
Source: RNAcentral
GGAAAAAAAGCCACUGGAUUAGAUACGAGUUCUAGUCAACGAAAGUCACUUAAACUCUGUUUUGGCUUCCUCGUCUGGAAGAUGAAAAUGGUAAUAUAACUGACUGAGUAGGGUUGCUGUAAGUAUGAGUUAGUGUGUAAAUGUUUACAAUUACGCAGGGCACACAGCAAGCGCCACGUUUUCUAUCAGGGCUACUCUCACCUAACGCGUAAAACAGGAUGGCAUGCCCAGCGGGAUCCGGGCCCUGGGUUCUCAGGCAUUGUGAUUGGUCUCAGCAUAUGACGCAAGGCGGGCUUCAUUAAUGAAAUUGCUGUCAAUUAGCGAAGGGCGGAAACCAGGCGAAGAGGGCGGUCCUUUAGAACCACACUCGCGCGACUGGCUCCUCUCUUUACAGGCUUAGCUACUGCGCAUGCCUCUGGCCCUCUUGAGGUCCCGGCGUGCCCCGCAACAGCUUCCGGCGUGCUCCGCAACAGCUUCCGGCGUGACGCAGUAGAAAAGGUGGCGUGGCUGGCGAUUCGUGUUCGUGAGGGCCUUUUCUGGAGCUCUCUGUACAUCCUCAACCAGAGCCACAGCUUCCUCGCCGUUUUCUGGAUGCUGCUCCCUCACCCAGGUCUGGAUCUCCUCUGGCAAGAUAGUCAGAAACUGCUCCAAAACCAGCAGCUCCAGGAUUUCCUCUUUUGAGUGGGUCUUCGGCCUCAGCCACUGACAACAGAGUUCCCAGAGUUUGCUAAAAGCUUCAUGUGGGCCAGUUACCUCCUGGUAGCAAAACUGCCUGAAGCGCUGACGGGAGGCCUCGGAGUCAGGGCUGUUACCCUGGAGGGCUGAUUUCUGGCCCUGUGUGGGAUCCUUGUUUGAGGAUGGGUGUGCCUCGGUACUCUUCACUGCAGCCAUCAUUUGCUUCAACGAACUGGCUUACUCUGGUUGCCACUUCUACCCUGGAGAUCAGAGUCCAUCUUUCCCACAUCACUGGGAAGCCAUGUUCUCCUGCAAGGAAUGUCUUUCUGUAAUCCGUGGGACAUGAGAGUGUCAGACAUGUGUAGAGACUCACAGCGGAAAAAAAGGGCUCAACUUUGAAGGAUGUCUGAAGAGGAUGGAAAAAGACAAUAUAAACCUAUCAAACAUUC